GAAAAGGUUUUGAUUUGUUUUGUUAUAAGAGGGAGAGAAGGAGUUGCGCAUCGUAGAGGCAAAAACGAAAACUCACAAAAUACUCUCAUUAUCUCUCAACCGUUAACCUCCAUACCAACAUCAAUCGCCGUCAACCAUCAUCCACCUUCUUCAUCUCCAUUCGUCGAGUCCCAAUCGCUAUCAUCAACACCAUCCUCCAUCUACUACCUCCAAUCGCUCACCAUCUUCUUCAACCUCCGUUCCGAUAAACACCAACGAACCACCACCGAUUCUGUAACCCUCUCCGCCUAA
This is a non-coding RNA of Vicia faba (fava bean), 291 nucleotides long. Lineage: Eukaryota; Viridiplantae; Streptophyta; Magnoliopsida; Fabales; Fabaceae. The record is from the annotation of a GenBank genome assembly.